This 416-nucleotide ribosomal RNA is filed under the name Epicauta delkeskampi. RNAcentral's name for it is "Psalydolytta delkeskampi partial large subunit ribosomal RNA". It matches the Rfam family "Archaeal large subunit ribosomal RNA", at positions 2024 to 2642 of the family's 2987-position model. The record is from RNAcentral. Lineage: Eukaryota; Metazoa; Arthropoda; Insecta; Coleoptera; Meloidae.
UGUGCAAAGGUAGCAUAAUCAUUAGUUUUUUAAUUGAAAGCUGGAAUGAAGGGCUGGAUGAGAAAGUAACUGUCUCACUUUUAUUUUCAUUGAAUUUUAUUUUUAAGUCAAAAGGCUUAAAUUUAAUAGAAAGACGAGAAGACCCUAUAGAGUUUAAUAAAGGCGGAUUUUAAUUGUGUGAGGAUUCGUAUUGUAAUUAUUGCUUGAUUUAUUUGGUUGGGGUGACACAAGAAUUUGAAAAACUUCUUUUUAUUAACACAUUGAUUUAUGAAUAGUUGAUCCUGGACUUUGGAUUAGAAGAACAAAUUACCUUAGGGAUAACAGCGUAAUCCUUUUAGAGAGCCCAAAUCGAUAAAAGGGAUUGCGACCUCGAUGUUGGAUUAAAGUUAAAUUUGGGCGCAGAAGCUUGAAUUUUG